Non-coding RNA from Drosophila melanogaster (fruit fly), 100 nucleotides. Its record names the gene mir-210. NCBI's taxonomy places the organism in Eukaryota, Metazoa, Arthropoda, Insecta, Diptera, Drosophilidae. The record is from Ensembl.
AAAGGUGCUUAUUGCAGCUGCUGGCCACUGCACAAGAUUAGACUUAAGACUCUUGUGCGUGUGACAGCGGCUAUUGUAAGAGGCCAUAGAAGCAACAGCC